UAAUUUUAUAAAUCUUUUAAUAUAUUUCAACGUAUAGUUAAUUAUAUUUAAAUAGAUUUUACGAAUUUUAGAAAUAAAAAGGUAAUUAACGAAUAUUUAUUUUUAUACGUUUUAAAUAUUUCAACGAUUUAUGAAAUUAAAAUGAUUUUAGAAUUUUAUGUUGAAAAGAAAUCGAAUUACGAAACGGAUUGAAUUUAGAAAACGAUCCUAAUCGAUUUUGGAUUGAAAUCCUAAAACUAAAUCCUAAUUCUAGCCCAAUUGACAAAGCCCAAAUAAUAAGACCCAAAACACUUUACUCCUUCCUUCUCUUUCAAUAUUACGUAAAAACAAAAAAAAAACAAACAAACCAACCAUCUCCUUCAAACUCACGUAAACCCAAACCCUCAAAACUUGCUCCUCUCUUUGCAGCCGUCGCCGUCAACCACCGCCGGACUAACGUCGCUGCACCACUCUCCCAUCACCGCCGUAGCCGCCGCGUGCACAGCCGCGACCACCAGGCCAACCACAACCAUCACCUUCAUCGUCGUCGCUGCCCUGCUCAGCCGACACCCUCUUCUCUCUCAUCCUUCGCGUGGAAAUCCUCCAUUUCCCUGCUUGUUCUUGCGUAAGUCAGCCGCACCACCAGUCGGCCACCGACGUCGCCAACCUGAUCUCGCAUUGCCACCGUGCCGCCCUGCCGCAGCACCACCUCCGGCCAGCCAGCCUUAUCUCCCUCACUUUUGGCGGAGAAUUCUCUGUAGGCGACUUUUGAAAGUGUUAAAGUGGUCUAUCAGU
Long non-coding RNA from Spinacia oleracea (spinach), 774 nucleotides. RefSeq lists it as uncharacterized. Lineage: Eukaryota; Viridiplantae; Streptophyta; Magnoliopsida; Caryophyllales; Amaranthaceae. The transcript is spliced from 3 exons. The record is from RefSeq and is a predicted model, not a curated record.